GCCUGUUCGAGCGUCAUUAACACCACUCAAGCCUGGCUUGGUAUUGGGGUUCGCACACCAGCGGCCCUUAAAUAUAGUGGCGGUGCCGGUUGGCUCUUCGCGUAGUACAUCUCUCGCGAUAGGGUCUGCCGGUGGCUUGCCAGCAACCCCAAUCUUUACAGGUUGACCUCGGAUCAGGUAGGGAUACCCGCUGAACUUAA
RNAcentral lists this unclassified non-coding RNA (200 nucleotides) under soil metagenome. RNAcentral's name for it is "partial contains internal transcribed spacer 2 and large subunit ribosomal RNA". The record is from RNAcentral.